Psychroflexus torquis ATCC 700755 is the source of this 129-nucleotide non-coding RNA. NCBI's taxonomy places the organism in Bacteria, Pseudomonadati, Bacteroidota, Flavobacteriia, Flavobacteriales, Flavobacteriaceae. The record is from Rfam.
GAUGGUAGGUCCAUCAGAGUCGUUGUAUAGGCGAUGGCUCUAAACCCCCUAAAGGUGUUGUUGUAAAGAGCUCCGAAGCCUCGGGGGUGCUGAGCGUUUAGGAGAAUCCAAUCCACGAGGUUGGCAAGG